AUUUAAGGGCUAGGCUACAAAGAGAGAGGGUUUUCUAGGUAAAGGCUGCCACCAGAGGAGAAGUAUUUUGUAGCCAGAGACCCUACCACCAGUUGGGUCAGCCAGAAGAGAGAUUCUGAGCCUUUCCCAAGGAUUUCUAAAAUAGCUGUAUCAUCUACUGAAUUAAAAUAAGUUGGAAGGAACUCGAAUAAUACGUCUGUGAAGGGAAAGGAACUAAUGCUUUAUCACCUUGGGAAAGGUGACUGUUUUCAUCCUGGCACUUUCCUUUAAGAAGCCACCAUGGUGUAGACUCUUUUCAGUGACGCUAUUACCUGUCCUCUCUUCAGUGCUGAUCUUUUCUGCAACUCUUGUGGUCUGAAUACAUGGAUUCUUGUUCAGAUGCUGCAUCCCUGAUACAACACACAGAAUUCUAUCAUUUUCCUCUUCUGUUUAGCACUCAUAUGAGAAAACACUGUGAAAAACAAUGCUUUAUUGAGGAAAAGGUUGUUUGGUAUGGAAAUGGAAGAAGAAGAAGAAAAGAACAGUGGUUAAUUCCAAUAAAAAUGUAAAUAAAGUCUUUACUUUGGAA
Lagopus muta (rock ptarmigan) is the source of this 568-nucleotide long non-coding RNA. RefSeq lists it as uncharacterized. The record is from RefSeq and is a predicted model, not a curated record. The transcript has 6 exons. NCBI's taxonomy places the organism in Eukaryota, Metazoa, Chordata, Aves, Galliformes, Phasianidae.